AUUGGGCAAUGGGGGAAACCCUGACCCAGCAACGCCGCGUGAAGGAAGAAGGUUUUCGGAUUGUAAACUUCUGUCCUUGGUGAAGAGAAGAAGACGGUAGCCAAGGAGGAAGCCCCGGCUAACUACGUGCCAGCAGCCGCGGUAAUACGUAGGGGGCAAGCGUUGUCCGGAAUGAUUGGGCGUAAAGGGCGCGUAGGCGGCUUUAUAAGUCUGGAGUGAAAGUCCUCUUUUCAAGGGAGGAAUUGCUUUGGAAACUAUAGAGCUUGAGUGCAGGAGAGGUUAUCGGAAUUCCCGGUGUAGCGGUGAAAUGCGUAGAGAUUUGGAGGAACACCAGUGGCGAAGGCGACUAUCUGGUCUGUAACUGACACUGAGGCGCGAAAGCGUGGGGAGCAAACAGG
RNAcentral lists this ribosomal RNA (398 nucleotides) under uncultured bacterium. Its description in RNAcentral is "partial 16S ribosomal RNA". It matches the Rfam family "Bacterial small subunit ribosomal RNA", at positions 363 to 776 of the family's 1533-position model. The record is from RNAcentral.